Molecule: long non-coding RNA, 989 nt
Organism: Gymnogyps californianus (California condor)
Lineage: Eukaryota; Metazoa; Chordata; Aves; Accipitriformes; Cathartidae
Exons: 5
Source: RefSeq, a predicted model, not a curated record
UUGAAGUGAUGAUCUGAGGAGCUCGUAGUGCUUCAUAAGCAUUAAUUAAUUAAACCUUACUAGAUCCCAGUGAGCCUUGUUCCUGAAUAAAAAGUGCAUGAUAAAUGAGUUAUACAGAGAGCAUUGAAGGGCUACUGACGAUGUAUAGUUAUGUACAAUAUGUAACUCAUUCUGUCACUGAAUUAAGAUGAACAGAACUUUUCCUUCUGAAAACCUGAGUGCACUUCACAGCUGGAAACAAGGAAAAUGUCCAGGACUACUGUGCUAUUCAUCUCUCUGCGGACUACCAACAACAACUCCACAGACCAAGCUGGGAACCAACAGUUUUAUGUAAUAAGUGUUUGGAUGCAUUUUCAAGUAAGGCUUUUUGUAGCAUCCUAAACAGAAGGAUAUUGAAGGGAGCUGAUUCUGCUUUGAUCCUUAUGCUUGUUGUCAAAGCGCUUGGGAUUGAAGAGACUGUUGGCUACAAUUGACUGUGACAAUUAGGAGAUGAUCAGAGCCCUAGAGUGGAGCACUUAAAGGGUUUGCAUUUAAAGGACUCGCAGAGCACUAAUUGUAUAAAAUUCUAGUAACUGCACAUUCUCUUGCUGGAAAGGUAAUGGAUGAAUGAAUGAAUGAUUUUGGGUUUCCCUAUACUUUAGAAUCAACUUAAUUUUUUUUUAAAUGAGCAGGAAGAAGAAAGUUUUACUCAGUAGCAAUGCAUUUUGAAAAGUCUUCAUUUUUGGGGUGUAGAUUAAAAAAAGUCUUCCCUAAGAGUUUUGGAAUGUAAAGUUGAUUAGAAUUUAACUGAGGUGUGCUUUUUUAAUGAGUUAUCAAAUCUACUGUUCCUGUUAUUAAAUAUAAUUUUUAAAUAAAUUAAUGUACAUAUUGAUCAUAAUGCCAGAAAGCCUAUUACAAUGUCCCUAGAAUUGCCUUUCUUGCUCAAAAAUACAUAAAGAGCAAAAGUCGACAUAUUCACAGUAAAAAUAUACUUCCUUAUGCAACCCUAU